RNAcentral lists this long non-coding RNA (506 nucleotides) under Panax ginseng (ginseng). RNAcentral describes it as "long non-coding RNA (PGIN_LNC000628)". The record is from RNAcentral. Lineage: Eukaryota; Viridiplantae; Streptophyta; Magnoliopsida; Apiales; Araliaceae.
UUCUAUUAUGUUUGUGGAUUAAAUGUGAGUAUGUGGUGAGUUACAUACCAUGCUUUAUGAGUUGUUAAAGUCAAAAUAUGACUAAGUUAAUUGGGUUAUGGAACUCAAUUUAUAUGUGAUAUGUGAUAGCACAUGUUGUAUGAUGCAACUCGAUAAAUUAGAAAUAUAUAAUGCAUGAAUGUAUGCUUUGUAAGGAAUUAUUGAUGCAUGUAGGAUAUGCAUAGUAAAGAAUAUAUAUAUGCUAUAUACGGAUAUUCAUAGUAAAGGAAAUGUAGUGCAUAUGAAAUUGUGUGAUAUAUGAAACAUGAUAGACUGUUAAAUUUGCUGGGCUGUCGAGCUCAAUCUUGCAAACACAAAAUUUUUGCAGGUUAAUGAUGUUGAGAGAUAUUACUUGCUAUACGGAUGAUGAAGAUUGAACGAUGUGCAAAAUGAAUACAUUUCUUUGAAUUAGAAAUGGUAUAAAGCUAUGAUUGAUAGUUUUGCUAAAUGUAAUUGGCAGUUAUGUA